This 481-nucleotide ribosomal RNA is filed under the name uncultured bacterium. RNAcentral describes it as "partial 16S ribosomal RNA". It matches the Rfam family "Bacterial small subunit ribosomal RNA", at positions 28 to 507 of the family's 1533-position model. The record is from RNAcentral.
GAUGAACGCUGGCGGCGUGCCUAACACAUGCAAGUCGAACGGAGAUUACGGACGGAAGUUUUCGGAUGGAAGACUGUAAUUCUUAGUGGCGGACGGGUGAGUAACUCUUGUGCAACCUGCCCUAUACAGGGGGAUAGCAGCUGGAAACGGCUGGUAAGACCGCAUAAGUCGGUUAAAUCGCAUGAUUUGAUCGGGAAAUGAGCAAUCAGGUAUAGGAUGGGCCCGCGUCCGAUUAGCCAGUUGGCAGGGUAAAAGCCUACCAAAGCGACGAUCGGUAGCCGGACUGAGAGGUCGGACGGACACAUUGGGACUGAGACACGGCCCAAACUCCUACGGGAGGCAGCAGUGGGGGAUAUUGCACAAUGGAGGAAACUCUGAUGCAGCGACGCCGCGUGAGUGAAGAAGUAUUUCGAUAUGUAAAGCUCUAUCAGCAGGGAAGAUGAUGACGGUACCUGACUAAGAAGCCCCGGCUAACUACGUG